CCUACGGGAGGCAGCAGUGAGGAAUAUUGGUCAAUGGACGAGAGUCUGAACCAGCCAAGUAGCGUGAAGGAUGACUGCCCUAUGGGUUGUAAACUUCUUUUAUAUGGGAAUAAAAUGUUCCACGUGUGGGAUUUUGUAUGUACCAUAUGAAUAAGGAUCGGCUAACUCCGUGCCAGCAGCCGCGGUAAUACGGAGGAUCCGAGCGUUAUCCGGGUUUAUUGGGUUUAAAGGGAGCGUAGGUGGAUUGUUAAGUCAGUUGUGAAAGUUUGCGGCUCAACCGUAAAAUUGCAGUUGAAACUGGCAGUCUUGAGUGCAGUAGAGGUGGGCGGAAUUCGUGGUGUAGCGGUGAAAUGCUUAGAUAUCACGAAGAACUCCGAUUGCGAAGGCAGUUCACUGGACUGCAACUGACACUGAGGCUCGAAAGUGUGGGUAUCAAACAGGAUUAGAUACCCUAGUAGUC
RNAcentral lists this ribosomal RNA (460 nucleotides) under uncultured bacterium. RNAcentral describes it as "partial 16S ribosomal RNA". It matches the Rfam family "Bacterial small subunit ribosomal RNA", at positions 338 to 795 of the family's 1533-position model. The record is from RNAcentral.